This is a non-coding RNA of Hydra vulgaris (swiftwater hydra), 484 nucleotides long. Lineage: Eukaryota; Metazoa; Cnidaria; Hydrozoa; Anthoathecata; Hydridae. The record is from RefSeq and is a predicted model, not a curated record.
UAUCGCAAUACAAAUUAAAAAUGCAGUAUUUGCAACGUACGUACUGCAUUUUUUCAUAGUAUCAUUGCUUUACUGCUUUUUAACUUGGCAACACAGACAAAAACGUGGGUUAUCUAUGACGAAUACGGCGUCAUUGCAACUGCAAGCGUCAUCUGAUUAGUGUGUGCGUUGGUUGUUCGUUCGUGUUUUCGUAUUUGGUGUUUCUUUUUUUUCGGUAAAGAUUAUUUUUAUAGUGAAUUAUAUUUAGGACUAUUCAAUUUAUCGUAGAGUGUUAUAAAAAUCAUAAAAUGUUGUGUGAUAUUUGCAACACUUGGAUGUCAAGGACUCAAUAUAUGCUACAUCGUGCUUCAGACAAAUGUAAAUCUUCAUUGUUAGAUGAUUCUAGAACAGUUGUAUCUGAAGUAACUGUUGAUAAAAUGGAAGUCGUAGUGUAUGAGGCAGAAAUUAUGGAGGAUAGAGGAGAUAUUGUUUUAGAUGAGUCUGU